CCAACCCCUACCUCGCUCUCUCCCCACGAACCUCUCUGUCUCUCGCGACUCCUCUCUCCCCCACAAACCCCUCUCCCUCGCCGCCGCCACCACCCACGCCGGCCGGUUCCGGCGAGCUCCGGCGGCGCGCAGCACGCCCCCGAGCUCCCCUAGGUCCGCUCCACCUUCCCCUCCAUCCAGAAUCGGCGCUCCCGUCCUCCACCGACCCCGUGGCUAGCUAGGGUUUCGACCACCACCCCUAACAUCCCCGGGAUCAGCCAGAUUCGGCGACGGCGAGGCCAGAGCUCGACGGAUCCGUUACGGGCGUGGCGCAGGUCACCUUGGUGCGGUCUGGACGGCGGCGACGGCAGGAGGGCGUCGUCCUUCCUACUCUAGGAGGCGGAGGACGAGGGGCACACCUAGCUGGCGGCCCUGUCCUGCUCGAGGAGGCGGGGGUUGCCGAGCUCAAGCACGGCCACAACGACCCACCUCGGCAUGUAGCACCUCCAUCUCCUCCGCCUCCUUCCUCUGCUCACUACUGCUGCUGCUAAGUAGAGGAAUAUGUGAUGCACUGCACCACACGAAGCUGGCUAUAUCCUUCACCGGUAGCUAGUUUGAUCUAUCCUGACGGACAAGCUAACAUACAUAGUAGUAGUUGCUUUUUUAUCAUUCCCCCACCGGCCAGAGCACAACGUACACACACACAGAGGAAAUCUCUAGUUAGCUUUCUUUUAGUUUGUCCUCUAAUUUGUGAUUGGCCAUAGGCUCGCGACAAUCUCUUUUUUUCUUUGUUGAUGCUUACGAUCAAUUCCAUAAUUUACCAGUGUAUAAGUAUAUAGCCCCUAGCCAUGUCUACUUCCAGUCCUACUCGGACACACAUAUUCACAUGUAUUUUGCACAUACGCGUGAAAUCACGUUCAAGGGAACUUUAGCACUACUUUACAAUGUACAUGAAGAAUCGGUUUACUCCAAUUGACAAGUAAAGUACAGUGGCCUAGUUGGAUCCUGUGACAAAUUCACAUCCUAGGCUUGAUUCCUGGCCGAGGCAGCUUUUACUUCAAUUGACUGCAUGAUUAAAGUAUAGAUAUAGAUAGUAUAUUUGUACUGGUAUGAUGAACAAGAGCUUCCAGUUAAUUACAUAAUAUUGGUGAUGUAGUUUUACUUGCUGUGUAUGCUUGCUUAGUUGUCCAUCGGGCCGCUCUCUUGUAUCGUUUGAGUGCGCCAAUUAGUUCGGCCAGCCUCUAUGAUUUAUUAUGUAGCUUCUGGAGUGCUUCUAUCUAUAUUUGUGAAAAAUUCGACCCAACAAAAAAAAUGUUAAUCAGUCCGCUCUCUCAAAGUUGAGUUUAGGCUGCUGCAUAUGAACGAUUUUUUUCUUAGUUUGGGUGCUAGGUACUGAUAGAGUUGGUGUAUCCAUAGAUAGCAUACACUUGCGCACUUUUUUGAGUUCUUCUGUUGCGAAUGAGAACAACCAUCAUGGACCUCCUCUGUUUCCAAGCAGCUUGCUUCACCAUGUAUGAUUUAUGCAGCAUAUACAUCUUGCUCCUCUUUUAUCAGUAGCAAUGGAAGUUGAUGAAAUUUAAGUGUCAUGUUGUUCUAGAGAUGCAGGGAGGGAGGGACGUCCAUGGAUUGGACUGGAAGGAUUAGAUGCAAACCAAUGCACAUGAGGAGGAGAGAUGCAAGCCAGGCCAUGACCUAAAGAUGUCCUUGGAGAAGAUGGCCAUUGGAGUGUAGGGGAGAAACAACCUUGUCCUGCUCGAGGAGGAGGAGGAGGAGGACCACCCGAGCUCGACGACGAUACGGCAACAGGUAGCACUCGCCUCUCUCCCAAGGUGAAGGUCUGAUCUGCCUGUUUAGAUGGUCUGCUCUCGUCUUAUGCAUGUGAGGGGAGACGAAAGCCAUUGGACUGAAUUAUAUUUGCAUGUGAGGGGAGUGAUCCUUUUGGUAGAUGCAGAGUAUAGAUUCACAAAAUUCACCACAUUGAGGUACCACUUGCAUCUUUUGUAUGUACACAUGAAAAAGCACGACGGUUUGCUUCGGUUUGUAUGUGUCCAAUUGUUUUUUACUUUUGACUGAAACUAUCUAUCUUGGUGGCACUUGCAUCUCUUGUACAUACAUACAUAUGAAUCAGCACCACACUUUUCUUCAGUUUGUAUGUGUCAAUUUUUUUGGUUGAACUUUGACUGAAACCAACUGGAUGGCACCUCAAUCUGUACAUACACAUGAAUCAGCACCACCCUUGGUUCAGUUUUGUAUGUGUCCAUUUGUUUUUACUUUGACUAAAGCCAACUUGAUGACACUUGCAUCUUCUGUAUAUACAUAUAUACAUAUGAAUCAGCACCACUCUUUUUCUCUUUGAAGCUUGCCUUGAACAACAACUGAUGCUUGAUAGAUACAACUGAAACUGGAGCAUCUCUGUACUGUAUGUAUUAGUAGUAUUGUUCGGUUCAAGCACCAACAUGACAAGUUAUCUUCAGCAAAAGCAAUAAUUUUCUGCCUUUUUAGUUUGAUGCCCUGUUCUAGGCGAUUUUCUUUUGGUAAAUUCAAUGUAUAGAUUACAUAUUCAUCCUC
Molecule: long non-coding RNA, 2547 nt
Organism: Triticum aestivum (bread wheat)
Lineage: Eukaryota; Viridiplantae; Streptophyta; Magnoliopsida; Poales; Poaceae
Exons: 3
Source: RefSeq, a predicted model, not a curated record